CAAAUAUUUUUAGCUCAGUCCCUGUCAGUACAUGUAUUAUGCACACAAGCCCCCCGACGUUCGAAUUCACACAAAACGACACAUAAAAUAUAAUCCUUUUCGUGAUUUUACCGUUUUUGCCCAUUUCAACCCCUCUGCGAACUUUUUCCGAUUUCCGGAGAUCCGUCCAUCAGAUUUUCGAUCGGACUGCGCCAUCGGCAUCGGAACUACAAUUUUGUUUCAUCCGAUUCGGUUGCCGAUUACGACGAAACAAAUACCCUCUUUUCGAUAAAACUCAUUUUUCUCGAAAAUCGUGCAUCAAAACCCAAAUCUGUCAGUGCCAUUGGUUCCAGGGCAGUCAAACCGUUGAAAACAAGCUAUUGGAUCACUAUGGACGGAGUCCAAUACGCACUAGAAGCCAUCUCCACUCAUUGGCUUCUCUGGAAAACCAGAGUUACUAUUCACUUUAAGUGAUUAGUACAGGUCACGUAACUUCUCCAUCCUAACUUGUUUUCUCCUGAAACUUGACGAGUGUCUAUGUAAUUAAAUUACACAAAAAAACAUCGUCAACACAGAGUUUACCUAC
RNAcentral lists this long non-coding RNA (565 nucleotides) under Ananas comosus (pineapple). RNAcentral's name for it is "long non-coding RNA (ACOM_LNC000827)". Lineage: Eukaryota; Viridiplantae; Streptophyta; Magnoliopsida; Poales; Bromeliaceae. The record is from RNAcentral.